This 429-nucleotide ribosomal RNA is filed under the name Bacteroidota bacterium. Its description in RNAcentral is "Bacteroidetes bacterium partial 16S ribosomal RNA". It matches the Rfam family "Bacterial small subunit ribosomal RNA", at positions 355 to 776 of the family's 1533-position model. Lineage: Bacteria; Pseudomonadati; Bacteroidota. The record is from RNAcentral.
UAGGGAAUCUUCCGCAAUGGACGCAAGUCUGACGGAGCAACGCCGCGUGAGUGAAGAAGGAUUUCGGUUCGUAAAACUCUGUUGUUAGAGAAGAACAGCGCAUAGAGUAACUGUUAUGCGUGUGACGGUAUCUAACCAGAAAGCCACGGCUAACUACGUGCCAGCAGCCGCGGUAAUACGUAGGUGGCAAGCGUUGUCCGGAUUUAUUGGGCGUAAAGCGAGCGCAGGCGGUCAAUUAAGUCUGAUGUGAAAGCCCCCGGCUCAACCGGGGAGGGUCAUUGGAAACUGGUUGACUUGAGUGCAGAAGAGGAGAGUGGAAUUCCAUGUGUAGCGAUGAAAUGCGUAGAUAUAUGGAGGAACACCGGUGGCGAAGGCGACUCUCUGGUCUGUAACUGACGCUGAGGUUCGAAAGCGUGGGUAGCAAACAGG